This 471-nucleotide ribosomal RNA is filed under the name uncultured bacterium. Its description in RNAcentral is "bacterial SSU rRNA". It matches the Rfam family "Bacterial small subunit ribosomal RNA", at positions 355 to 825 of the family's 1533-position model. The record is from RNAcentral.
UCGAGAAUUUUUCUCAAUGGGGGAAACCCUGAAGGAGCGACGCCGCGUGGGGGAUGAAUGGCUUCGGCCCGUAAACCCCUGUCAUUUGCGAUCAAACCUUACGACCUAACACGUCGUAAGCUGAUAGUAGCGGAAGAGGAAGGGACGGCUAACUCUGUGCCAGCAGCCGCGGUAAUACAGAGGUCCCAAGCGUUGUUCGGAUUCACUGGGCGUAAAGGGUGCGUAGGCGGUCGGGUAAGUCUGACGUGAAAUCUUCGAGCCUAACUCGGAAACUGCGUCGGAUACUAUUCGGCUAGAGGAAUGGAGGGGAGACUGGAAUACUUGGUGUAGCAGUGAAAUGCGUAGAUAUCAAGAGGAGCACCUGAGGUGAAGACGGGUUGCUGGGCUGACACUGACGCUGAGGCGCGAAAGCCAGGGGAGCAAACGGGAUUAGAUACCCAUGUAGUCCCUGAGCGGGCUGGCAAGGCGCAU